CAAACGUUAAUUUAGCAUUAUAAUCUAUUGCAGAGCAAAAAG
This 42-nucleotide small RNA is filed under the name Plasmodium falciparum 3D7. Its description in RNAcentral is "Pfa-rasR270". Lineage: Eukaryota; Apicomplexa; Aconoidasida; Haemosporida; Plasmodiidae. The record is from RNAcentral.